UACAGAGGGUGCGAGCGUUGUCCGGAAUCACUGGGCGUAAAGGGCGCGUAGGUGGCGGCCCAAGUCCGUGGUGAAAGCUCGAUGCUCAACAUCGAGUCGGCCACGGAUACUGGGUUGCUCGAGCACUGUAGGGGCAGAUGGAAUUCCGGGUGUAGCGGUGGAAUGCGUAGAGAUCCGGAAGGACACCGGUGGCGAAGGCGGUCUGCUGGGCAGUUGCUGACACUGAGGCGCGACAGCGUGGGGAGCAAACAGG
RNAcentral lists this ribosomal RNA (253 nucleotides) under uncultured bacterium. Its description in RNAcentral is "partial 16S ribosomal RNA". It matches the Rfam family "Bacterial small subunit ribosomal RNA", at positions 524 to 776 of the family's 1533-position model. The record is from RNAcentral.